GCCGAUCUUGGCGGAUGACCGGCCACACUGGGACUGAGAUACUGCCCAGACUCCUACGGGAGGCUGCAGUCGAGAAUCUUCUGCAAUGGGCGCAAGCCUGACAGAGCGACGCCGCGUGGAGGAAGAAGGCCUUCGGGCUGUAAACUCCUGUCACGGGUUAUGAAGAGUGGUUUGAUUAAUACUUGAGCCUUUCUGACAAAGGCCCGAGAGGAAGCCACGGCUAACUCUGUGCCAGCAGCCGCGGUAAUUCAGAGGUGGCAAGCGUUGUUCGGAACCACUGGGCGUAAAGGGCGCGUAGGCGGUGACGUAAGUUCGUGGUGAAAUCCCCCGGCUCAACCGGGGAAUGGCUGCGGAUACUGCGUUGCUUGAGGAUGAGAGGGGAGAGUGGAACUUCUGGUGGAGCGGUGAAAUGCGUAGAUAUCAGAAGGAACGCCGGAGGCGAAAGCGACUCUCUGGAUCAUUCCUGACGCUGAGGCGCGAAAGCUAGGGGAGCAAAAGGGAUUAGAUACCCCUGUAGUCCUAGCCGUAAACGAUGGGCACUAAGUAGAGGGGUUUU
RNAcentral lists this ribosomal RNA (556 nucleotides) under Candidatus Kuenenia stuttgartensis. Its description in RNAcentral is "bacterial SSU rRNA". It matches the Rfam family "Bacterial small subunit ribosomal RNA", at positions 286 to 832 of the family's 1533-position model. The record is from RNAcentral. Lineage: Bacteria; Pseudomonadati; Planctomycetota; Candidatus Brocadiia; Candidatus Brocadiales; Candidatus Brocadiaceae.